UAGCCUUGACAUACUAAGAAUCUUUUAGAGAUAAAGGAGUGCUAGUUUACUAGAGCUUAUAUAC
Molecule: ribosomal RNA, 64 nt
Filed under: uncultured bacterium
Lineage: Bacteria
Description: partial 16S ribosomal RNA
Source: RNAcentral